Molecule: ribosomal RNA, 330 nt
Filed under: uncultured bacterium
Lineage: Bacteria
Description: bacterial SSU rRNA
Rfam family: Bacterial small subunit ribosomal RNA
Source: RNAcentral
CGCGUAGGUGGUAGUGCAAGUCUGAGGUGGAAUCUUAGGGCUUAACCCUAAAUUAGCCCUGGAAACUGCAUUACUUGAGUCAGUGAGGGGAGGGUAGAAUUCCUGGUGUAGCGGUGAAAUGCGUAGAUAUCAGGAGGAAGGCCGGUGGCGAAGGCGGCCCUCUGGCGCUGAACUGACACUGAGGCGCGAAAGCGUGGGGAGCAAACAGGAUUAGAUACCCUGGUAGUCCACGCCCUAAACGGUGGGUACUAGGUGUAGGGCUCGUAAGGGUUCUGUGCCGAAGCGAAAGCAUUAAGUACCCCGCCUGGGGAGUACGGCCGCAAGGUUGAA